GUGAGCGUUAGAUCCCCCCCCGAACUACAAUUCCCAGAAUGCUGUUCGAGCAUGCCCGAAGGCGGAACCAGAGUGUCGCCAUGCAACUGUUCCUUGGUUGUUUCCGAUUGGCUGCCCGGACUUCUCGCGGCUAAACUAACUUUGGCUCCAAGGCGGCGUGAAGAGUGUGAUUCUGUUCAGCGACCGUGAUUCUGUUCAGCGACCAUGAUGUUGAGCCCCUAAUUGAGAGUCUGUUACCACUAUUAAUAGCUACUCUGUUCGGGCCCUACACAUAACGGUGUAUCUAAACCUCUCUACAAUUUUAUGGACAGACUCUUGCUGUGUCGCCCAAGCUAGAGUGCAGUGGUGUCAUCUGGGCUCAUUGCAACCUCCACUUCCUGGAUUCAAGCAAUUCUCAUGCCACAGCCUCCCAAGUAGCUGGGACUACAGCUAGAAGAAUUGAAUUCUUCCAUGUAUCCUUUGCCAACUGUCAGUAGUGAAGUUUACAAUUUAUAAUUUCUGAUGGAAUCUCACUCUGUCACCCAGGCUGGAGUGCAGUGGUGCAAUCUCAGCUCACUGCAACCUCUGCCUCCCGGAUUUAAGCGAUUCUCCUGCUUCAACCUCCUGAGUAGCUGGGACGACAGGCACGCACCACCAUGCCCAGGGUCUCACUCUAUCGACCAGGCUAGAGUGCAGUGGCGUGAUCUCGGCUCAUGGCAACGUCUGCCUCCCAGGUUCAAGCAAUUAUCUCACUUCAGCCUCCUGAGUAACCGGGACUACAGGUGCUCGCCACCACACUCGGCUACUUUUUGUACUUUUUAGUAGAGACAGGGUUUCACCGUGUUGCCCAGGAACCUGUGGUGAUAAGGAAGAUGUGAGCCUGGAGAUACAGAAGCUACCACAUGAAUGUUAAAAAUGAAGCUGACACAGCAAAAGGCAGUGCCAAGGAACUGAAAGAAAACAAAUUUUGAUUACAUUUUUGGAGUUCCUGGGUCAAGCAGUUCAUGACACUGAGGCUUUUCCGCUACAUGAAUAAGUACUUUUUCUUUCCUGUUAAAGUGGGUUUGUGCUGGCUUCUGUAUCAUUCACAACAACUGGAUACUAACUGAGGCAACACUUCCUACCUCUUACACAUGUUACACCCAUAAAACAGAAACAACAUCUAAAAUUAGAUUUCAACACAACUACCAAGCAGAGAAGUUCAAAUCAACAAGUUAUGGAUAAUGUUUUAUUGAAACUACAUUUCUCCUCCCAAUGUGAGUAUGGUGUUGGCCAACAUGUUGCAUGUUGAUUCUGCUUGCCUUUGUGUCCUACAUAUAGGAUGUGUGCUGUGUAAUGAAUCGUUUCUUCAUUAUUUUUCUCAGCUUGCAUGGUUGCCUCACCUCCAUUCACAGAGCUCACUGUGACAGCAUUCAACCUUGUCUUGGUACAAGUGUGUAAUUUACAUAAUAGUCGCCUCUGUACUUUCCUCAGUAACUUAAACAAGGAAGACCAUCACUCACUGUGCUUGCCUUUCAAAUUAGAUUUGAUAUCAAAUUAAAGUCUCAUUUUAUUAAA
Molecule: long non-coding RNA, 1536 nt
Organism: Pan troglodytes (chimpanzee)
Lineage: Eukaryota; Metazoa; Chordata; Mammalia; Primates; Hominidae
Exons: 6
Source: RefSeq, a predicted model, not a curated record